RNAcentral lists this ribosomal RNA (433 nucleotides) under uncultured bacterium. Its description in RNAcentral is "partial 16S ribosomal RNA". It matches the Rfam family "Bacterial small subunit ribosomal RNA", at positions 29 to 507 of the family's 1533-position model. The record is from RNAcentral.
AACGAACGCUGGCGGCAUGCCUAACACAUGCAAGUCGAACGAGACCUUCGGGUCUAGUGGCGCACGGGUGCGUAACGCGUGGGAACCUGCCCUUAGGUUCGGAAUAACUCCCCGAAAGGGGUGCUAAUACCGGAUAAUGUCUUCGGACCAAAGAUUUAUCGCCUUUGGAUGGGCCCGCGUUGGAUUAGCUAGUUGGUAGGGUAAAAGCCUACCAAGGCGACGAUCCAUAGCUGGUCUGAGAGGAUGAUCAGCCACACUGGGACUGAGACACGGCCCAGACUCCUACGGGAGGCAGCAGUGGGGAAUAUUGGACAAUGGGCGAAAGCCUGAUCCAGCAAUGCCGCGUGAGUGAUGAAGGCCUUAGGGUUGUAAAGCGCUUUUACCCGGGAUGAUAAUGACAGUACCGGGAGAAUAAGCUCCGGCUAGCUCCGUG